AUCACCCGGGAGUCUUGUUAAAAUGCAGAUUCUGAAUCAGUGCGGCUGGACUGGGGCCCAGGACUCUGCAUUUCUAACAAGCUUCCAGAUGAUGUGGU
RNAcentral lists this microRNA precursor (98 nucleotides) under Loxodonta africana (African savanna elephant). RNAcentral's name for it is "mir-544 microRNA precursor family". It matches the Rfam family "mir-544 microRNA precursor family". The record is from Rfam by way of RNAcentral. Lineage: Eukaryota; Metazoa; Chordata; Mammalia; Proboscidea; Elephantidae.